This 497-nucleotide ribosomal RNA is filed under the name uncultured bacterium. RNAcentral describes it as "partial 16S ribosomal RNA". It matches the Rfam family "Bacterial small subunit ribosomal RNA", at positions 28 to 507 of the family's 1533-position model. The record is from RNAcentral.
GAUGAACGCUGGCGGCGUGCCUAAUACAUGCAAGUCGAGCGAACAGACGAGGAGCUUGCUCCUCUGACGUUAGCGGCGGACGGGUGAGUAACACGUGGAUAACCUACCUAUAAGACUGGGAUAACUUCGGGAAACCGGAGCUAAUACCGGAUAAUAUAUUGAACCGCAUUGUUCAAUAGUGAAAGACGGUUUUGCUGUCACUUAUAGAUGGAUCCGCGCCGCAUUAGCUAGUUGGUAAGGUAACGGCUUACCAAGGCAACGAUGCGUAGCCGACCUGAGAGGGUGAUCGGCCACACUGGAACUGAGACACGGUACAGACUCCUACGGGAGGCAGCAGUAGGGAAUCUUCCGCAAAGGGCGAAAGCCUGACGGAGCAACGCCGCGUGAGUGAUGAAGGUCUUCGGAUCGUAAAACUCUGUUAUUAGGGAAGAACAAAUGUGUAAGUAACUAUGCACGUCUUGACGGUACCUAAUCAGAAAGCCACGGCUAACUACGUG